GGACAAGUGAAUAAGUGCACAUGGUGGAUGCCUUGGCGAUUACAGGCGAUGAAGGACGUAGAAGUCUGCGAUAAGCUUCGGGGAGCUGACAAACGAGCAUUGAUCCGAAGAUUUCCGAAUGGGGAAACCCGGCCUUAUAGGUCAUCACUCACUGAAUACAUAGGUGUGUGAAGCGAACGCGGCGAACUGAAACAUCUAAGUAGCUGCAGGAAAAGAAAUCAACCGAGAUUCCCAAAGUAGUGGCGAGCGAAAUGGGAAGAGCCUGCAUAUGAUAGUCGGACUGGUAGUGGAAGCCUCUGGAAAUAGGCGCCAUAGUGGGUGAUAGCCCCGUACGCGAAAUCAGACCGGUGGUACUAAGUAUGCGACAAGUAGGGCGGGACACGAGAAAUCCUGUCUGAAUAUGGGGGGACCAUCCUCCAAGGCUAAAUACUCGUAAUCGACCGAUAGUGAACCAGUACCGUGAGGGAAAGGCGAAAAGAACCCCGGGAGGGGAGUGAAAUAGAUCCUGAAACCGUGUGCAUACAAACAGUCGGAGCGGACUUGUUCCGUGACGGCGUACCUUUUGUAUAAUGGGUCAGCGACUUACAUUCAGUAGCGAGGUUAACCAAAUAGGGGAGCCGCAGAGAAAUCGAGUCCGAACAGGGCGUUAGUUGCUGGGUGUAGACCCGAAACCAAGUGAUCUAUCCAUGGCCAGGUUGAAGGUGCGGUAACACGCACUGGAGGACCGAACCCACUAAUGUUGAAAAAUUAGGGGAUGAGCUGUGGAUAGGGGUGAAAGGCUAAACAAACUUGGAAAUAGCUGGUUCUCUCCGAAAACUAUUUAGGUAGUGCCUCAAGUAUCACCAUCGGGGGUAGAGCACUGUUAUGGCUAGGGGGUCAUCGCGACUUACCAAACCAUUGCAAACUCCGAAUACCGAUGAGUGCGAGCUUGGGAGACAGACAUCGGGUGCUAACGUCCGGUGUCAAGAGGGAAACAACCCAGACCGCCAGCUAAGGUCCCAAAGAUUGGCUAAGUGGAAAACGAAGUGGGAAGGCUAAAACAGUCAGGAUGUUGGCUUAGAAGCAGCCAUCAUUUAAAGAAAGCGUAAUAGCUCACUGAUCGAGUCGUCCUGCGCGGAAGAUGUAACGGGGCUAAGCCAGUCACCGAAGCUGCGGAUAU
RNAcentral lists this ribosomal RNA (1159 nucleotides) under Pseudoduganella umbonata. RNAcentral's name for it is "partial 23S ribosomal RNA". It matches the Rfam family "Bacterial large subunit ribosomal RNA", at positions 1 to 1209 of the family's 2925-position model. The record is from RNAcentral. Lineage: Bacteria; Pseudomonadati; Pseudomonadota; Betaproteobacteria; Burkholderiales; Oxalobacteraceae.